RNAcentral lists this ribosomal RNA (270 nucleotides) under uncultured archaeon. RNAcentral's name for it is "partial 16S ribosomal RNA". It matches the Rfam family "Archaeal small subunit ribosomal RNA", at positions 477 to 747 of the family's 1478-position model. The record is from RNAcentral.
CAGCACCUCAAGUGGUCAGGAUGAUUUUUGGGCCUAAAGCAUCCGUAGCCGGCUCUGUAAGUUUUCGGUUAAAUCUGUACGCUCAACGUACAGGCUGCCGGGAAUACUGCAGAGCUAGGGAGUGGGAGAGGUAGACGGUACUCGGUAGGAAGGGGUAAAAUCCUUUGAUCUAUUGAUGACCACCUGUGGCGAAGGCGGUCUACCAGAACACGUCCGACGGUGAGGGAUGAAAGCUGGGGGAGCAAACCGGAUUAGAUACCCGAGUAGUCC